Molecule: ribosomal RNA, 429 nt
Filed under: Actinomycetes bacterium
Lineage: Bacteria; Bacillati; Actinomycetota; Actinomycetes
Description: Actinobacteria bacterium partial 16S ribosomal RNA
Rfam family: Bacterial small subunit ribosomal RNA
Source: RNAcentral
UAGGGAAUCUUCCGCAAUGGGCGAAAGCCUGACGGAGCAACGCCGCGUGAGUGAUGAAGGUCUUCGGAUCGUAAAACUCUGUUAUUAGGGAAGAACAAAUGUGUAAGUAACUAUGCACGUCUUGACGGUACCUAAUCAGAAAGCCACGGCUAACUACGUGCCAGCAGCCGCGGUAAUACGUAGGUUGCAAGCGUUAUCCGGAAUUAUUGGGCGUAAAGCGCGCGUAGGCGGUUUUUUAAGUCUGAUGUGAAAGCCCACGGCUCAACCGUGGAGGGUCAUUGGAAACUGGAAAACUUGAGUGCAGAAGAGGAAAGUGGAAUUCCAUGUGUAGCGGUGAAAUGCGCAGAGAUGUGGAGGAACACCAGUGGCGAAGGCGACGUUCUGGUCUGUAACUGACGCUGAUGUGCGAAAGCGUGGGGAUCAAACAGG